This 176-nucleotide small RNA is filed under the name Chrysemys picta bellii (western painted turtle). Its description in RNAcentral is "TUC338 (ENSCPBG00000014065.1)". The record is from RNAcentral. Lineage: Eukaryota; Metazoa; Chordata; Testudines; Emydidae.
CUGACAGCCCUGAGUACUGAAGUCCCUUAUUUAUCCACAAAACAGGUGCAGCUGAGUCACUGGCAGUACAGCCUUCCUCAGACUGUCCUGACAGUGUGCCCCAGCCUGAACCUGGGGUGAACCACCUUUCUGCAAAAGGUUACUUUAUUUCCUGUGGCCACUUUGCUGAGACUACC